AUAUCUUGAAAUGUUAAAAACAAAACCCUACUUUCCCAGUCCUAAGAGCUUUCAUUUCCUUCCGGAUCAGUAUAGCGUUUGCUAUGCCUAAGCUUUAUUCGCCGAGUCCAGUUGAUCAACAAAGAAAAUACUGGUAUAUACCUGCCCUUUAUUUACAAGAAUGAGAAACAUUUUGUACUGCCUCACUUCACUUUCCAUUAUAUGUGAGUCUAAAGAGCAAAUGGAGUGCACAAAAUCACAUCCAUAUCCGUGCUGCUACAACCAGCAGUUGAAUGACGAUAAUAACACUUGUAUAGAGUGUCCCAAAGGAAGCAUUGGCUGGAAUUGUAAAUCAUUAUGUCCCUCUGGAUUUUAUGGACGUCUGUGUAAAUCUCCCUGCGAGUGUUUCGCCUCGGAGUGUCAUCGUGUGACUGGCUGUAUAACGAC
This is a long non-coding RNA of Magallana angulata, 426 nucleotides long. RefSeq lists it as uncharacterized. The transcript is spliced from 4 exons. The record is from RefSeq and is a predicted model, not a curated record. Lineage: Eukaryota; Metazoa; Mollusca; Bivalvia; Ostreida; Ostreidae.